GGAUACACCUCUCCUUUACUCCGGCCGCCGUCGCCAAUUGGUACUGUCACCACCCUCUUGUUUGCUUCUUUCCUACUACACAAAAAUUCAAAUAUAUACUCACUCGCAGUGGCGGAGCUAGGAUUUUCGCUUACCUGACCAAGAAAUGUUGAAGAAACAAAAUAUCAGACCUUUUCUUCGGGGAUGGCUCGUAAAUUCCUUCAGUUGCUUCAUCACCAGACAGAGGAGAAUCAACAUCAUUUUCUUGAGGUUCUUGUUCUUGACACUUUGCUUCCAUUUCAUACAAGGACUAAGAAUAUGUACUAAUAUAUACUGUGUAUGUAUAUGUGUUAGGGUGGGGUGAGAUGGGGUGGCUGGAAAUAGUUGGUGUGAAGUGGGCGAAAUGGUGGAAUUUGUGAGUUUUAAUAUGGGACAUGUCACGUUGACAGAUUGGCAGAGAAGUAAUGCGA
RNAcentral lists this long non-coding RNA (449 nucleotides) under Olea europaea (common olive). RNAcentral's name for it is "long non-coding RNA (OEUR_LNC011657)". Lineage: Eukaryota; Viridiplantae; Streptophyta; Magnoliopsida; Lamiales; Oleaceae. The record is from RNAcentral.